AAAAAUGCAGAAGACCACAACACAAGACUGAAAACGAGUUGACGAGAUCGAAGCAUUACGAGGACAGAUAAAAAAUUUCAUUAUAUUUAAUUUUAACAUUGGGUUAAAUAUGUUUUUAGUCCCUCUUUCAAAGUUUUGUUCAUUUUCAUCCUCUUCCUUAGGAAACUCGAAUUUUUAGUCCUCGAAAAGCAACGACAUUAAAUUUUCUCUAAGGUGGCUAAUGGUGUGUCACGUAUGAUGCCAAAUUUCAUGUUAAGUGUGUG
Molecule: long non-coding RNA, 263 nt
Filed under: Vigna radiata
Lineage: Eukaryota; Viridiplantae; Streptophyta; Magnoliopsida; Fabales; Fabaceae
Description: long non-coding RNA (VRAD_LNC003594)
Source: RNAcentral